This 73-nucleotide transfer RNA is filed under the name Candidatus Methanofastidiosia archaeon. RNAcentral describes it as "tRNA-Lys". It matches the Rfam family "tRNA". From Rfam's summary of the family: Transfer RNA (tRNA) molecules are approximately 80 nucleotides in length. Their secondary structure includes four short double-helical elements and three loops (D, anti-codon, and T loops). The record is from RNAcentral. Lineage: Archaea; Methanobacteriati; Methanobacteriota; Candidatus Methanofastidiosia.
GACCUCGUAACUCAGUUGGUAGAGUACCACACUUUUAAUGUGGGAGUCGUGAGUUCGAGUCUCACCGGGGUCA